GUCAAAUACAGAGAGUAUUACCUGGAUCGCAUGGCAUUAGAAGAGUAGGGUCAAUAAAGGAAACAGAAGUCAGAACUCACAAUCCAGUGCAUUUAUUGCCCAGUGUCUGAAACCACGGUUAGAUAGCAAUUACUUCCUCAUGGUCAGAGGUGGAAGUCCAGCACCAUUAAUAUGAGAGAGCAGUUUGAAACACAGGAUAAAUAAUAUUUCACAGAGAAAAAGAUAGCUAAAAUCAUCCACAUACCAUCGAGACUACCAAGAUGUCAAGUCAGUCAGAUACUUUCUUGGGGGCCUUGAAACAGGAAGAUAAGGAAUGCAGGCAAAUAGCAAUAAAGUUUAAAUACAGAUUUUCAGUAAAAUACAGGUUUUUAGGUAAAAAACAAAAUGUCCUUCUGGGUCAGUCUUGCAAAUCUUAGUGGAAUACAUAGGAUUUAAACUAGAAUUCUUGUUGAACCUCUAAUAUAAUUCAUGCAAGGUAGAAAUAAGAAGUGCAGUACUAUUCACAAUAGCAAAGACUU
Molecule: long non-coding RNA, 518 nt
Organism: Homo sapiens (human)
Lineage: Eukaryota; Metazoa; Chordata; Mammalia; Primates; Hominidae
Exons: 3
Source: RefSeq, a predicted model, not a curated record